This 2928-nucleotide ribosomal RNA is filed under the name Salmonella enterica subsp. enterica serovar Enteritidis str. SA20094079. Its description in RNAcentral is "bacterial LSU rRNA". It matches the Rfam family "Bacterial large subunit ribosomal RNA". Lineage: Bacteria; Pseudomonadati; Pseudomonadota; Gammaproteobacteria; Enterobacterales; Enterobacteriaceae. The record is from RNAcentral.
GGGUUGUGAGGUUAAGCGACUAAGCGUACACGGUGGAUGCCCUGGCAGUCAGAGGCGAUGAAGGGCGUGCUAAUCUGCGAUAAGCGCCGGUAAGGUGAUAUGAACCGUUAUAACCGGCGAUACCCGAAUGGGGAAACCCAGUGUGAUUCGUCACACUAUCAUUAACUGAAUCCAUAGGUUAAUGAGGCGAACCGGGGGAACUGAAACAUCUAAGUACCCCGAGGAAAAGAAAUCAACCGAGAUUCCCCCAGUAGCGGCGAGCGAACGGGGAGGAGCCCAGAGCCUGAAUCAGCAUGUGUGUUAGUGGAAGCGUCUGGAAAGGCGCGCGAUACAGGGUGACAGCCCCGUACACAAAAGCGCAUGUGCUGUGAGCUCGAUGAGUAGGGCGGGACACGUGGUAUCCUGUCUGAAUAUGGGGGGACCAUCCUCCAAGGCUAAAUACUCCUGACUGACCGAUAGUGAACCAGUACCGUGAGGGAAAGGCGAAAAGAACCCCGGCGAGGGGAGUGAAAAAGAACCUGAAACCGUGUACGUACAAGCAGUGGGNNNNNNNNNNNNNNNNNGUGACUGCGUACCUUUUGUAUAAUGGGUCAGCGACUUAUAUUCUGUAGCAAGGUUAACCGAAUAGGGGAGCCGGAGGGAAACCGAGUCUUAAUUGGGCGUUAAGUUGCAGGGUAUAGACCCGAAACCCGGUGAUCUAGCCAUGGGCAGGUUGAAGGUUGGGUAACACUAACUGGAGGACCGAACCGACUAAUGUUGAAAAAUUAGCGGAUGACCUGUGGCUGGGGGUGAAAGGCCAAUCAAACCGGGAGAUAGCUGGUUCUCCCCGAAAGCUAUUUAGGUAGCGCCUCGUGAAUUCAUCUCCGGGGGUAGAGCACUGUUUCGGCUAGGGGGCCAUCCCGGCUUACCAACCCGAUGCAAACUGCGAAUACCGGAGAAUGUUAUCACGGGAGACACACGGCGGGUGCUAACGUCCGUCGUGAAGAGGGAAACAACCCAGACCGCCAGCUAAGGUCCCAAAGUCAUGGUUAAGUGGGAAACGAUGUGGGAAGGCCCAGACAGCCAGGAUGUUGGCUUAGAAGCAGCCAUCAUUUAAAGAAAGCGUAAUAGCUCACUGGUCGAGUCGGCCUGCGCGGAAGAUGUAACGGGGCUAAACCAUGCACCGAAGCUGCGGCAGCGACACUGUGUGUUGUUGGGUAGGGGAGCGUUCUGUAAGCCUGUGAAGGUGUGUCGUGAGGCAUGCUGGAGGUAUCAGAAGUGCGAAUGCUGACAUAAGUAACGAUAAAGCGGGUGAAAAGCCCGCUCGCCGGAAGACCAAGGGUUCCUGUCCAACGUUAAUCGGGGCAGGGUGAGUCGACCCCUAAGGCGAGGCCGAAAGGCGUAGUCGAUGGGAAACGGGUUAAUAUUCCCGUACUUGGUGUUACUGCGAAGGGGGGACGGAGAAGGCUAUGUUGGCCGGGCGACGGUUGUCCCGGUUUAAGCGUGUAGGUGUGUGUUCCAGGUAAAUCCGGUUCACUUUAACACUGAGGCGUGACGACGAGGCACUACGGUGCUGAAGCAACAAAUGCCCUGCUUCCAGGAAAAGCCUCUAAGCAUCAGGUAACAUCAAAUCGUACCCCAAACCGACACAGGUGGUCAGGUAGAGAAUACCAAGGCGCUUGAGAGAACUCGGGUGAAGGAACUAGGCAAAAUGGUGCCGUAACUUCGGGAGAAGGCACGCUGACACGUAGGUGAAGUGAUUUACUCAUGGAGCUGAAGUCAGUCGAAGAUACCAGCUGGCUGCAACUGUUUAUUAAAAACACAGCACUGUGCAAACACGAAAGUGGACGUAUACGGUGUGACGCCUGCCCGGUGCCGGAAGGUUAAUUGAUGGGGUCAGCGCAAGCGAAGCUCCUGAUCGAAGCCCCGGUAAACGGCGGCCGUAACUAUAACGGUCCUAAGGUAGCGAAAUUCCUUGUCGGGUAAGUUCCGACCUGCACGAAUGGCGUAAUGAUGGCCAGGCUGUCUCCACCCGAGACUCAGUGAAAUUGAACUCGCUGUGAAGAUGCAGUGUACCCGCGGCAAGACGGAAAGACCCCGUGAACCUUUACUAUAGCUUGACACUGAACAUUGAGCCUUGAUGUGUAGGAUAGGUGGGAGGCUUUGAAGUGUGGACGCCAGUCUGCAUGGAGCCGACCUUGAAAUACCACCCUUUAAUGUUUGAUGUUCUAACGUGGACCCGUUACCCGGGUUGCGGACAGUGUCUGGUGGGUAGUUUGACUGGGGCGGUCUCCUCCUAAAGAGUAACGGAGGAGCACGAAGGUUGGCUAAUCCUGGUCGGACAUCAGGAGGUUAGUGCAAUGGCAUAAGCCAGCUUGACUGCGAGCGUGACGGCGCGAGCAGGUGCGAAAGCAGGUCAUAGUGAUCCGGUGGUUCUGAAUGGAAGGGCCAUCGCUCAACGGAUAAAAGGUACUCCGGGGAUAACAGGCUGAUACCGCCCAAGAGUUCAUAUCGACGGCGGUGUUUGGCACCUCGAUGUCGGCUCAUCACAUCCUGGGGCUGAAGUAGGUCCCAAGGGUAUGGCUGUUCGCCAUUUAAAGUGGUACGCGAGCUGGGUUUAGAACGUCGUGAGACAGUUCGGUCCCUAUCUGCCGUGGGCGCUGGAGAACUGAGGGGGGCUGCUCCUAGUACGAGAGGACCGGAGUGGACGCAUCACUGGUGUUCGGGUUGUCAUGCCAAUGGCACUGCCCGGUAGCUAAAUGCGGAAGAGAUAAGUGCUGAAAGCAUCUAAGCACGAAACUUGCCCCGAGAUGAGUUCUCCCUGAGACUUAGAGUCUCCUGAAGGAACGUUGAAGACGACGACGUUGAUAGGCCGGGUGUGUAAGCGCAGCGAUGCGUUGAGCUAACCGGUACUAAUGAACCGUGAGGCUUAACCUUACAACGCCGAAG